RNAcentral lists this ribosomal RNA (397 nucleotides) under uncultured bacterium. RNAcentral's name for it is "partial 16S ribosomal RNA". It matches the Rfam family "Bacterial small subunit ribosomal RNA", at positions 523 to 918 of the family's 1533-position model. The record is from RNAcentral.
AUACGUAGGGGGCGAGCGUUGUCCGGAAUGACUGGGCGUAAAGGGCGUGUAGGCGGCGGUGUAAGUCUGGAGUGAAAGUCCCGCAUUCAAUGUGGGAAUUGCUUUGGGUACUGCAGUGCUAGAGUGCGGAAGAGGUAAGUGGAAUUCCCAGUGUAGCGGUGAAAUGCGUAGAGAUUGGGAGGAACACCAGUGGCGAAGGCGACUUACUGGGCCGUAACUGACGCUGAGGCGCGAAAGCGUGGGGAGCGAACAGGAUUAGAUACCCUGGUAGACCACGCGGUAAACGAUGAAUGCUAGGUGUUGCGGGUAUCGACCCCUGCAGUGCCGGAGUAAACACAAUAAGCAUUCCGCCUGGGGAGUACGGCCGCAAGGUUGAAACUCAAAUGAAUUGGCGGGG